GACGAACGCUGGCGGCGUGCUUAACACAUGCAAGUCGAACGGAAAGGCCCUGCUUUUGUGGGGUGCUCGAGUGGCGAACGGGUGAGUAACACGUGAGUAACCUGCCCUUGACUUUGGGAUAACUUCAGGAAACUGGGGCUAAUACCGGAUAGGAGCUCCUGCUGCAUGGUGGGGGUUGGAAAGUUUCGGCGGUUGGGGAUGGACUCGCGGCUUAUCAGCUUGUUGGGGGGGUAGUGGCUUACCAAGGCUUUGACGGGUAGCCGGCCUGAGAGGGUGACCGGCCACAUUGGGACUACGAUACGGCCCAGACUCCUACGGGAGGCAGCAGGGGGGAAUAUUGCACAAUGGGCGGAAGCCUGAUGCAGCAACGCCGCGUGCGGGAUGACGGCCUUCGGGUUGUAAACCGCUUUCGCCUGUGACGAAGCGUGAGUGACGGUAAUGGGUAAAGAAGCACCGGCUAACUACGUG
Molecule: ribosomal RNA, 468 nt
Filed under: uncultured bacterium
Lineage: Bacteria
Description: partial 16S ribosomal RNA
Rfam family: Bacterial small subunit ribosomal RNA
Source: RNAcentral